RNAcentral lists this ribosomal RNA (425 nucleotides) under uncultured bacterium. RNAcentral describes it as "bacterial SSU rRNA". It matches the Rfam family "Bacterial small subunit ribosomal RNA", at positions 354 to 796 of the family's 1533-position model. The record is from RNAcentral.
GUGGGGAAUCUUAGACAAUGGGCGCAAGCCUGAUCUAGCCAUGCCGCGUGAGCGAUGAAGGCCUUAGGGUUGUAAAGCUCUUUCAGGGGGGAAGAUAAUGACGGUACCCCCAGAAGAAGCCCCGGCUAACUCCGUGCCAGCAGCCGCGGUAAUACGGAGGGGGCUAGCGUUGUUCGGAAUUACUGGGCGUAAAGCGCACGUAGGCGGACCAGAAAGUCAGGGGUGAAAUCCCGGGGCUCAAACCCGGAACUGCCUUUGAAACUCCUGGGCUUGAGGUCGAGAGAGGUGAGUGGAAUUCAGAGUGUAGAGGUGAAAUUCGUAGAUAUUCGGAGGAACACCAGUGGCGAAGGCGGCUCACUGGCUCGAUACUGACGCUGAGGUGCGAAAGCGUGGGGAGCAAACAGGAUUAGAUACCCUAGUAGUCC